This 225-nucleotide ribosomal RNA is filed under the name uncultured Glomeromycotina. Its description in RNAcentral is "partial small subunit ribosomal RNA". The stretch from base 45 to 225 matches the Rfam family "Eukaryotic small subunit ribosomal RNA", at positions 693 to 876 of the family's 1831-position model. Lineage: Eukaryota; Fungi; Glomeromycota. The record is from RNAcentral.
GGAUCAACAUGUCGGUCGUGCCUCGGUACGUACUGGCUUAUUGGUUUCUCCUUUCUGAAGAACCAUGAUGUCAUCUAUUUGGUGUCAUGGGAAAUCAGGACUGUUACUUUGAAAAAUUAGAGUGUUUAAAGCAGGCUCACGCUUGAAUACAUUAGCAUGGAAUAAUGAAAUAGGACGUUUGAUUCUAUUUUGUUGGUUUCUAGGAUCGACGUAAUGAUUAAUAAG